UACAGAGGUCUCAAGCGUUGUUCGGAUUCAUUGGGCGUAAAGGGUGUGUAGGUGGCGCGCUAAGUCGGGUGUGAAAUUUCGGAGCUUAACUCCGAAACUGCAUUCGAUACUGGCGUGCUUGAGGACUGGAGAGGAGACUGGAAUUCAUGGUGUAGCAGUGAAAUGCGUAGAGAUCAUGAGGAAGACCAGUGGCGAAGGCGGGUCUCUGGACAGUUCCUGACACUGAGACACGAAGGCCAGGGGAGCAACCGGG
RNAcentral lists this ribosomal RNA (253 nucleotides) under uncultured bacterium. Its description in RNAcentral is "partial 16S ribosomal RNA". It matches the Rfam family "Bacterial small subunit ribosomal RNA", at positions 524 to 776 of the family's 1533-position model. The record is from RNAcentral.